RNAcentral lists this ribosomal RNA (282 nucleotides) under uncultured prokaryote. RNAcentral describes it as "partial 16S ribosomal RNA". It matches the Rfam family "Bacterial small subunit ribosomal RNA", at positions 524 to 805 of the family's 1533-position model. The record is from RNAcentral.
CACGGGGUUGCGAGCGUUGUCCGGAAUUACUAGGCGUAAAGGGUGCGUAGGUGGUUUCUUAAGUCAGAGGUGAAAGGCUACGGCUCAACCGUAGUAAGCCUUUGAAACUGGGAAACUUGAGUGCAGGAGAGGAGAGUGGAAUUCCCGGUGUAGCGGUGAAAUGCGUAGAUAUCGGGAAGAACACCAGUGGCGAAGGCGGCUCUCUGGCCUGCAACUGACGCUGAGGCGCGAAAGCUAGGGUAGCGAACGGGAUUAGAUACCCCGGUAGUCCCUGAGCGGGCU